This 424-nucleotide long non-coding RNA is filed under the name Nicotiana benthamiana. Its description in RNAcentral is "long non-coding RNA (NBEN_LNC004288)". Lineage: Eukaryota; Viridiplantae; Streptophyta; Magnoliopsida; Solanales; Solanaceae. The record is from RNAcentral.
UCACGAAUCAAAUGACUAAAACAAAAACAUCAUGAAAGGAUCACAACUGUGGCACAAAUAGAACUACUACCAAGAUUUUAACACUGCCUUUAUUCCAUCUUCAAAUUGAAGUUUACAUCAUAAAGGAUUUAGAAUUUGUACCUGGAGAUUAAAGGAAAAGAGGUAAAGAAAUAGUAACAGCAACAGAAUAACAGCCCUGGCAAACCAGUUCAAACUAGAAAUUUGAGAUGAAGCAGUAACAAAAGCAGACUUAAUGUAGCUAGAACUUCAAAAACUUUAAACCAGGCUUGGAAAUCUCAAACUCAAACUAUCUUCAUAUCAAGGAUUACUGAAGAAAUGCAAUGGAACAAUACAAGAGCUCAGCCUUUUGGGUUUUUCGUUAUUUUUUAUGAAUGAAAUCUCUUUUUUUAACUCUCUAUACCUU